RNAcentral lists this long non-coding RNA (8596 nucleotides) under Gallus gallus (chicken). RNAcentral's name for it is "lncRNA (ENSGALG00010029870.1)". Lineage: Eukaryota; Metazoa; Chordata; Aves; Galliformes; Phasianidae. The record is from RNAcentral.
CUGCAUUCAGAAGGUGUGUGUGUCUUAUGCUGAAGAAGAAUGGGGGUUUGCCUUGGGGCUUAAAUUAGCAUACAAAGGAAGAAAUGCCUUAAGAGGCAGAUCAGCAGGGUUAUUUAAAACAUAAACCAACCCAAGGAUGACAGGGCCUACAGGGCAGGAAGGUGUCUCAGUGCCAGUAGAUGGUGCUCUGCAAGCUGCCUUUGUGGGUGGGUUGAGCUCCGCACUGAUCUCAGUGUUGUGCAGCACCCCAAGACCUUUGUGACUUGUUGCUGCUCCAAUGCAGAGGUCGUUGUGACUUUGCUAGUAGCACGCCUAGGGGAGUUGUGCAGAAAGCAGAUGGAUUUUGUGGGUGUCUUUCGCUGAGUGUUGGCCUCCAGGAACAUUUACCAAAAAGAGCAUUCCCAUGAUACACCAUCAUCUUCUCCAGAACAAACACAAAGGAGAUGUGUCCAUGUCACAGUGUGACCUUCCCCCCGCACACCCCAGUGCUUGACUGUGCAGGGAGCAGAGCUGGCUGGGUGUGCUUGCCUGGGACUCCUGACUUGACGUUCAUGCCAGGACAUUCAUUGCAAUUACCCUUGAUUUGAGAGCAGCCUCUAAAGGAAAUAAAAAUGACAGCUUUGGAGCAAUCCUGUUGUGCAGCAUGAUGGCUCUUGGCAGCAGGAGACCUAAUCACCCUCCUGAAGGCUGCUAUUCCAACGCGGGAUCUGAACAGACAAGUCUUCAAGGAACGGAAUCUGUAACAGCAUUAAAAGGCUAGGGAAUUGAAUCCCAGAGCCUCAGAGGGGCAAUUUCAAGUCCUCAGCCAACUGAAGUUGAACUGUACACCUAUGGCAAGCUAAUUCCCAGCCCCGAGCUUUACCUCAUCGUAGGUCACAGAAACGACAACUUCAGAAUACCUGGAGUGAUGAUGGAGUGAUGAUGUGACCUUUUGCACUGUGGGGGAGGCAUUCCGUGCUCCGAUGGCUGUGGGCUCCUGUUAGCUCCAAUCUCCCCCAUCAUCACCGAAGACCAUUUCUGUUGGCAGAGAAGAAAGGGAAGAAGCCCUGCCUGCUGCCUUCUCCUGAGCACACUGCCCGAGAGCCAACAGCCUGGACCACAGGAGGCUUCCAGAUGCUGGCAGAGAAGCAGGAAUCAUUACAACGGAGCAGAGCCCCACACAAAGACAUGGCAUGAUGUAAUGGACUGCUCUGAAGGGGAGCUCACUGUUCUUCAGAAGGAGAGCUGUUACAACACGGAGAAUAGAUCUGCGGGGCUGAUCCAGGUGUGCUGGUUCUGAUGGGAGCCGGGAGAGAAACGGAGCAGGAGCUCCUGACACCCGCCGGCAGGCGAUGAAUUAGUGCAGCACAGCUGGAGCUGCUUGAGGGCUGCAGAUGCAAAUCCCAGAGCUGUUCCUGCAUGUACCGGAGACAGUGCGGCCAGUCUGGGGGUUCCCAUAUAUAAGAUAUGUCGAGGUGCUAGAGCGAAGCUGAGAAAAAAUGUAUCUUUGAAGAGGCAAAGUGGACAUGUCAUUGAUGUCUAUGGUUAUUAAGAGGGGGAUGUGCAGAAGGGAGAACCAGACUGUCCUUGGAGAUGCACGGCGACAGGACGAGAGGCAACAAGCACAAAUGGCAGCAUGGAAAUUCUCAAUAGAGAGUGAAAAAUGCCCACCAUGAGAAUGUUCAAAUGGCAGACUGGGAGCCCAGAAAGGCUGUGAGACUCCAGUGUAUGAGAUGCUCAAAACUCAGCCGGACAUAGCAGCCUGGUAAGAUGGGCCUGCAUGGACUGGAAGCCAUGCUUUUAAUUGCAGCUGGUGUGACCUCUGUGUGACACUGGGGUGACAUUAUCCAAGCCUCUUAAGCAGAAGCCCGGUCCCAUCCCAGUUAAAUCUGCCAGGUGAGUCCACUUACUUCUAAAUGAUGUUGGUCUCUAUCAGCAUUGCAGGAUGCAUCUUGCUGCCACUGUCCUCUCCUAGGGGCAGUUUCAAGCACAACCCUUUGAAACACGAAGCAGGAGUGGGAUGCUAGGUAUGGCUCCCUAGAGAAAAGCCACUCCCAAAGCCAGCAGGAUGCCACAGCUCUACAGAGGGAUUCUGCUCACGGUGUCAUCACUUCCCAUGUGUGUCCCCUGUGGAUCCUGCUGUGACACAGAGGCGUCAGAUGAACCCGUGUGUCUCCUGCACACUCAACACCUGAACACGUCAGAUGUGCACUUCUGGAAGGAGCAGUGAGAGAUGCCAUCACUCACAGUCUGUCAGUGGCCGCUGCCCAAUUCCAGGCUCCCCACAGAGCCUGCACCCUACAAGAGGAGUGCUCAGCCCCUUCCCCAGCAUUCAGGUCUCAGUGUAACUCAAUCCCAGGGCUCUCCAUACCUACCCUCUGUCUGCAGAGUCCUUUUGCAGGCUUGCUGACAUUUAUAUACCAUUCUAAAUAUCACUGAAGCAUUGCUGGGAGAGAGGAAAUGUGGAAUGAAUGACACAGACUUGCAAGCAGCAAAGGGAAGAAGGUGGUGCCGAGUUUGAUUGUAGUAACUGUGCCAACACCCCCAAGGAACACAGCCUCCCACAGACACUGUGCCUUUUCCAGGUGAUGAAAUGAACUUCUUUAGCUUUAACCCUAAGUAAACGAUGGCCCAGCUCAUAAAACAUCCUGGAGCGCAGAACUGUUUACAGACUUUUAUUUGUCUUGAGCUUCGUGCUUUGUAAGAUUGGAGGUGAUUUCAUUACCUGGCUUUGUGCAAUGUCAUUCCGGCAACUGGAUCAUAAGUGCCACGUGGAUGUUUACAGUCAUGGGGAAAUACAUUAUGGCCAGAAAGGACGGCUGCAGAUUAAUAGAAAUAUUCUUCUGGAACACCCGAGGGCCAAUCCUGAGGAUCGAUCCUCUCUUGCUUCUUCUUAAUCUGAAUUCUACUUUGCUCUUAGCUGGAGCUGGAGAGAACCUCCCCUGCCCCUGGUGCUGCUUAGGGCAGGACCAAGCCGUCCCCUCCCUGUAAAGGGGCAUUGGAAUGGGGGAACAUUUAUUUCCCCCUGGAAUUAUUGCCCCUGCUUCAUGGUGGAUGGGAGCAGCAGUGAGGCACACCCAGCUUGGGUGUCACAUGAAACGGAGCUUGGUCAGCUUCCAGGAGUGGAAUUCAGCCUUUUCUUUUCCAAGAAAGGAUGCAAGCAAUUUGUCUUUAGAAUACUAUAAAGACGCCUCAAGAAUAUCAUAUAGUCUGCUAGUGCUGCAGAGAACCUCUUAAAAACUUAAUUGCCUGUGUCACCAAAUGAGGAGAGAGCAGUCCCUUGAAAGAUCCAGUGUUUUGAAAACAAGCAGUCAGUUCUAAAUACUUUCAAAUGGUACAUGCUUCUUUACUCCUGCUGACAAUAAGAGUAAUUGCUGAGCACAGGAUAAAGGAGAUUGUCUGAAAUGUUUUAUUUUCUUGUUGCAUCCUUUUUUUUUUUUUUCCUACAAUGCAAAAAGACAGAGGCGUCCUUGGGCUGCAACCAGUCAGACAGAGAGGUUUCCAAGAGGCAGGUGAGAGGCAGAGAUCUCAACAGCAAAGUGACUCUCCUGGUUUGAGAGCACCUCCGCUCUCACCACUCGUGCUGUGAGUGCUGCCUGCAGGGAUGACAGAUCAGGACGUUUCCUCCCAUCAUUUACUCACUGCACUGCCUCACUAACAUCUCUAUUAAUUCUGGGAUACAGAAGACCUCGAGCAUCUCCGUUUGCUCACUCACCUCUGACUUUUACUGUGGCCAUAGUGUUCAGUGUGCGUGGUUCCAUCACCCGGCCUGCUCAGAGCUGAUGUCAGUGUCUGCCAUCACUCUGUUUGCCCAUUAAGGACUUGUUGGCUCCCUGCAUUUUCCUGUGUGGCCCACGGUGCAGCGUAGUGCACUGGAAAGCAAUAUCCAUUCUAACGUGAUGUGACAUGGGAAACCUCAGAGGAAGCACAGGCUUAUGCUGGCUGUGCUGCUGCACAGUCAAUAGUCCUCCUUUAUGCCUGCCAUUAAAGCAGGAGCAAACAGUUAUGAUCUAUGGCUUGACUUUUUAUCUAUUUAUCUUUUUAUCUUUUUACCUUUUGAUCUAUAGCUUCUUUUUAUUUAUGCAAUCACCACGUUUUGUUUUGGGUUGUUAUUUUUUGUUGUUGUUUUUCCUUGGUAAGCAAGUAGAUAUGCAAAGCACAGCAGAUGUCCCGAACUUGAAGAGCCAAGGGAACAUUUCUUCUUGGCCCUUAGAUGAAAUGGACUGGGCUGUGCUCCAGGAAAUAGGAAUGAUUAAUCCAUCAUUGAACAUGAACUUAAACGAGCUAAAAUUGGGCAUUUUAGUUCUGAUGUAUGCGCUAAGUGAAAGAAUCAUUCAGAGGAUAAAAGUAAUGGCUUUGGGACGGUGUUGUAAGACAGAGCGGCUCUGCAGGAGCAGGAGGGUGAGAGCAGCAGGGCUGAGUGCACGCUACUAUGCUUCCUGAGUGCAGGAAUGGGAACUGCUGCAUGACCCCAACAGUCUGCAGUGUGGGUUCAGUGCUGUGACACACACUGCCUGCUCCAGCCCCAGCUCGGUGGCUUUAGGCUUAGGAUGUGCUCCAGCUGCCAGAGUGAGUCCUUCCUUUCGUUAUCCGCUGUUCUAGUUGUGCCAUUAGCCACAAUUACACCCUUAAGCCAGAGACGGCAAUUGAUAUUUUAUCAUUGGGAUUUUUUUGCCGUGGCUUUUGUACCCAUCUGGAGUGAACAAACUAUUACAAGUUUCAUCCAAUUAUGCUAAGUGUGGUUGGACACACUGCGCCCAGCACAAUCUCUUUUCAAUGGAGAGAGGGGCAGUCCGUUAUCAGCUCGAGGCACCAUCAUUCAUUAAGACAUCAUUUGCCUCUCGCCAGCAGAGCCGAAGCAGCAAAUCUGUAGGAUGUCAUAUUAAGGUGUGAUAAUGAAAGAUAGGCAGAACGGGAUUAACAAAGGGGUCCUCUCCACAUUAUACCUUCCUCUGACUACUUUGCUCAGUCCCAGCCUUUUAUGAUCUCCUAAGGGAACAUUUCAAAGGGGUGCGUGGAAGUUGGGCCCGCAAAUCCAAUUAAUUGCAGAUGUGGUUUGUGCCUAGAAUCACCACGCACCCCUUCAAAAGCAGCUGCCUGAGUGCAGCAGGACGUUGAAUGGAAAAUAUUGGGCAUACAGUGCUGGAGAAGGGCUGAAGUGGUCACCAAAUCUAGCUCCAAACCUGGCAGCAGGGAUGCUAUGAGGGGAAAAGUCCCUAUGUCUGUCCCUUCUUUCCUUCUUCCUGAGGAGCAGCCACUACCUGUGGCACUGGGGACUGGAAAUGCAGCUGGGAAUCAGCUAGCCCAAGAAAUCACCUGCACAAUCCUACACAAGCCAUCCCCUGGAGAGAAUGAACCUGGUGCCCAAACACACGGAGGGAACCUUAUUUCUAUCUAAUUUCUGCACUUAUAUGGCUUUUAUCCAAUUAUCAGACUUUUUACCAUCUAUAAUGUGUUCUUCUUCCCAGCAUACAGCCAAUUGCCCAGAAGGCAACUGCAUUGCCCGUGGAUGCAGUGAUAUGAUCAAGUUCACCCAAAGUCUGUGUCAGAGAAAGGAGCUGAGCCCAGGGCUCAUGCAGCAGGGACCAACCAUCACAGCAUGGGGCCUGGAUGCACUUCAUGGAAAAGGAUAUAGUGGUUGAAAAAGGGCCCAGUGUAAAUCCUGCCCUGCCUCUGCCAGUGCUGAGAUCAGCAGGUGAGCACAGAGCAUCUUUCGUGUUCUCCCUUCCCAGGGCACCUGGGCAGCUUACUGGGAGCAGCACAGCUGGAGUAGAUGGACAGUGGAUUCUCCAUUUGCCUUUGGAUUUCUGUUCUUAUGCUGGCACUGCUAUCAGUCCAUUCCCAGAAAUUAUAUUUUCCAAUGAUUUUUUUUUUUUUUUUCCAUUUCCAGAGCAGGUCAGAAUGUUGUGGUAAGUGUUUCUGUUAUGAGCAGUAAGUGAAUUAGGGAGAGGACACAGGGCAUGGCCAGGGCACUUCCACCAGCCCACAGCAACCAGAAACUGCAGGGCUGCGUCCCUGGGGAGCACUGCAGGCUGCUGAGACUGAGCAGAUUUCAGCAGGCCCUGCGCACCAAGGCAGAUGCUUAAUUACACAGUCCCAUAAAGAAAUUCUUCUUAAAAAUCCCAAUCUUGAGCCAAGAAGCACAGGAGACGAUCCUGCUUCACACGCUGCUGAAAGAAACUCUUUGGCCAAAAUUGCUCUGGCUGUUUUUCUGCGCUCCAGUAAACCUGGCUGCUGUCUCCGUCCUGCAGAUGACUUCAUUUCGGUAGAUUUCUCAGCCCAGGCUCUCUCUGCCUCAAAAGCAAUUGUUUGUGCUGCAGUUGGAAAAUGUGUAUCAUCGCAGUCACCUUUUUUCCACUGCAGAGUAAUUAAUCAAUACUUCUCAUGGAGAGGAGUCAAUUCUCGUUAAGCUGGGGGCUUCGCAGUGUUGCCGUUUGGUUUUUCUUUUGCAGAAGAGCUGUGACAUACCCAAAAGCCACUUUGUGCUCACGCUGUGGGCUGUGCUUGGUUGGGGAUGCACCAGGGUGAGGCCAAGUCCGCGUUGCAGGAAGUGUUUGGAAGUGCAGCGCUCAGCAUUGGUGCCAAGUGAAUGGAGGACACAUCUGAGCACUCAACGUGAAUAGGUGGGGAAAGGGAAGUGCAGCCCGGAGUGGCAGUGCAUGAGAACCAAACGCUGUAACAAAACGGUGUGUUUGGUUCUUCCGCAGCCUCGCGAGUUCCUUCCUGGCUCCAUGUGAUUUACUGUACAAUGUAGUACUGGAAGUCAUUAUUAUUACAAAGAAUCACUAAUUCAAUAACACUGCUAUCCUGCUUGAAUAACACCCAUACAAUAUUAAUGCGUUUCCCCCAUCAUAUUCAUUGCAGAACACAAAAGCUGUUAAUAGAAUGCAAGAAGUCUUAAGGCAAGGAGGCCGCUAAUGCUGCAGUCGCUGCUACCCAUGCAUUGCUAACGCCGAGUGAGGCUCUGGCAAUUAUGAUUGCAAAGCACAUUUUUGGAUGCCAUUCAUAAAAAACAAAUGGCUAAAAGUUAAAACUUCAAAUAGAAGUAGCAGAGCUGCCUGGCGUUACACGAUAACAUGGCACUUUAUUAUCGCUCCUCAAUUGUUUGACGUUUAUGCCUCUGUUUAGCACGUCUGUUCGUUAUCGUUCUCCAAUUAACAGACUUUUUUCAGAUUAUUUUUAUGAAAUUCUCAUUUAAUUAGCAAUACAGCUGAGUCUCAAAUGGCAGUUUUAAAAAUAUCCUCCCACCGAUCAAGCAGCCAAAUGGUCUUUCUGAGAUACUCGCAGAGUUGUAAACCUUAGUUUGUCUGCUCGUUAUCCCCCAGUUUAGACGAUGGGAAAGCAGGCACCUAACAAUCAAGGGUUGUUGACCGGAUGCUUUCAUUUUGCCCAGUAUAGAAAAAUACAAAUUUCACCUAUGAAAACCUUCUUGUGGACUUUUCUCAAGGAAAGGAUGUGGUUUAUCGAGCGAUUUUCAGAUUCCACACAAUAGAUGGGGAAUUAAAAUAAUGAACGACAAAUAAUGGAAAGCAGGUGCAAUGGGAGACGUCAGGCAAGCAUUCCACAGGCACCGAGCAAAAUGGGAGGAAAUAUAUUUAUAAUACAAUAAUGAAGGCAAAACAAAACAAAAAAAAACACCCACAAUAAAAUAAAAUCAAGAGCAAAAUUCAAGUGAAUGGGCCCUCCUGCUAGACAGCUGGAAACCAUUAUGGUAUUUAGCAAUGAACACACUAAUAAGCUUAAAACACACUUUUGCCAUACGUUGGUGGAUGUGUAGAGAUGGGUAGAAGUGGUGCAGUUGGCACAGUGGAUGGAAGGGAUACCAUCCCAAGGGGACAGGACAAGAAGUGGGCCCAUGUGAACCAAAUGAGGUUCAACAAGGCCAUCUGGAGUACUGCAUCCUGGCCUGGGGCACCCAGUACAAGAGAAACAUGGAGCUGUUGGAGUGGGUCCGGAGGAGGGCAUAAGGAUGCUCAGAAAGGCUGGAUGGGCUUUGGGUGUUCUUCCUGGAGAGGGGAGGGCUCCAGGGAGACCUCACUGUGGACCUCCAGCACUUGUGGGGAGCUUAUAAACAGGAAGGAGAGUGGAUUUUAUGUCGUCUAAUAGUGGUAGGAAAAGGGGGAGUGGCCUUAAACUGAAAGAAGGGAAAUUUAGGUUAGAUGUUAGGAAGAAAUUCUUUAUUCAGAGGGUGCUGAGCUGUGGGGCCACAUCCCAGGAGGAGCUAAGGGCCAUGGAUGGGCUCUGGGCAGCCUGAGCAGGUGGGGGGCAACCAGCCCACGGCAGGGGUUGGAAGUGGAUAAUCUUUAAGGUCCCUUCCAACCAAAGCCAUGAUUCUAUGUUUCAGGUUUUAAGUCUAAUUCCAGCAGAAGAUUUCUGCCUGUGCCAGAUGUGGUUUUCAGAUGCUGCACUGUGGCUUUGCUGCAUUCCUGGCCAACUGCAGCCAAGCAGACCCCUGGAGCCUUGCCAGAGAGGGAGAAGGAGUAAUGGGCCCUGGCUCCCUUGGUCUCAUCCAGAGCUGGACAUGUAUCCACGUUACAAAGGCACUGAUAUCUGGAUUCCCAUUGUGCUCAAACCAAAUGGUCUCCAAGAGCUGCUCAUCUCCUCUUGUAGGCUGGGC